CACUAUCGUUAACUGAAUACAUAGGUUAACGAGGCGAACCGGGGGAACUGAAACAUCUAAGUACCCCGAGGAAAAGAAAUCAACCGAGAUUCCCCCAGUAGCGGCGAGCGAACGGGGAGCAGCCCAGAGUCUGAAUCAGCUUGUGUGUUAGUGGAAGCGUCUGGAAAGUCGCACGGUACAGGGUGACAGUCCCGUACACGAAAAUGCACAGGUUGUGAACUCGAAGAGUAGGGCGGGACACGUGGUAUCCUGUCUGAAUAUGGGGGGACCAUCCUCCAAGGCUAAAUACUCCUGACUGACCGAUAGUGAACCAGUACCGUGAGGGAAAGGCGAAAAGAACCCCGGCGAGGGGAGUGAAAAAGAACCUGAAACCGUGUACGUACAAGCAGUGGGAGCACCUUCGUGGUGUGACUGCGUACCUUUUGUAUAAUGGGUCAGCGACUUAUAUUCUGUAGCAAGGUUAACCGUAUAGGGGAGCCGAAGGGAAACCGAGUCUUAACUGGGCGUUAAGUUGCAGGGUAUAGACCCGAAACCCGGUGAUCUAGCCAUGGGCAGGUUGAAGGUUGGGUAACACUAACUGGAGGACCGAACCGACUAAUGUUGAAAAAUUAGCGGAUGACUUGUGGCUGGGGGUGAAAGGCCAAUCAAACCGGGAGAUAGCUGGUUCUCCCCGAAAGCUAUUUAGGUAGCGCCUCGUGAAUUCAUCUUCGGGGGUAGAGCACUGUUUCGGCUAGGGGGCCAUCCCGGCUUACCAACCCGAUGCAAACUACGAAUACCGAAGAAUGUUAUCACGGGAGACACACGGCGGGUGCUAACGUCCGUCGUGAAGAGGGAAACAACCCAGACCGCCAGCUAAGGUCCCAAAGUCAUGGUUAAGUGGGAAACGAUGUGGGAAGGCACAGACAGCCAGGAUGUUGGCUUAGAAGCAGCCAUCAUUUAAAGAAAGCGUAAUAGCUCACUGGUCGAGUCGGCCUGCGCGGAAGAUGUAACGGGGCUAAACCAUGCACCGAAGCUGCGGCAGCGAC
Molecule: ribosomal RNA, 1025 nt
Filed under: Enterobacter asburiae
Lineage: Bacteria; Pseudomonadati; Pseudomonadota; Gammaproteobacteria; Enterobacterales; Enterobacteriaceae
Description: partial 23S ribosomal RNA
Rfam family: Bacterial large subunit ribosomal RNA
Source: RNAcentral